UAGUUUUCUUCUUCUUCUUCUCUUUCUUCUGUUCUUCGUGUCUUUCUCCCUGCCGAAUUCAAUUCCAAUGAAUAGCUUUUUUUGUGAGUGAUUCAUGAAAAUCUUCAGACCCAGAUAAAUCGAAGAAGAGGGUGAUGAAUCUGGAAGCUAAUUGAGCUCUGAAAGAAGAAGAAAUCAGAAGAAAUAAAAAUUAGGGUUUCUGCUAGAAUUGAAUAAGUUGUAUAUUUGGAAGAGGAGUUCGAUUUAGAGAUGGGUAUUGUAUGUUGAGAGUAAGGGAGGAGAUUUAGCUACUGAUUCUCAACUCACAUGGAAGAAUUAGUGAAUUAGGGUUUUCACAGGAGAAGGAAGUGAUGUUGUUAGUGCAAGUUAGGGUUUCGGAUGAUUAUUAAUUUGAAGUGGUUUUGCUGUUGAAGAUUGUGUUCAGUCGAUUAGGGUUUGGUGGUGCUGUAAAUUCGAUCAUUGAGGUGAUGGUGAUGGAUGGUGGUAAUUUUGGUUGUUUUCGAUAAUCGGUGCAGGCAAUUGGAGAUUGAGAUGAAGGUGAUGCUGCUGUGAAGAGAUUGAUGUGAUUUAGCGGUGAGAAAACUCAGAUGGAUAUAAUGAAUGGUGCAUUACAAAACUACAUCGGAUCAAGUUUUACCAAGCUUGAAAAGGUCAGCUAUUUCUGGAUAAGAUGUACUAACUUCUAUCCACAAGUACAUAUAUAUACUUUGUGUUGAAGAGCAAGUAAUCGGUCAUGCUGAAAUUUUCAGAAAUGAAUAGCAGUAGUGCAGUCCCAACUAAUUUUUUUACUGAAGCAUGUCCUCUACUACUUGCAAAAUGAUUUUAUGGCAUAAAGAUGGAGACUGUUGUUGUCCAAGACGACAUCAAUCUUGGUGAAGCUAGAGUGUCAUACCAAGUCUCUUUAUGUAAACAUCAAGUUCAUGGUUCUAAUGCAAUACAAGUUUACAAUGGAACAAUUUCAGAAUAAUCAGAUACCAUGCUUAAGUAAACAAAUAACUAGGUUUGCUAGGUAAAUUUGGCUCUCCCUUUUGCUCCAGAAGCCAUUCUAUGUGCAGUUAAGAUCUAUGUACAAAUUAGAAUUGACUAAAGAAGAACAUCUGUUGUCGAUGGACAUAUUGAAAAAGAAUCAAUACUGGUGACCAGGAAAUAUUAACGGAUAUUGUUAUCAUGUGGCUCAGAGUUUCGUGUUAACUGCUGGUGCAACCCCUGCAGUUGAGAUUUUUAGUAUCUUCCUCAUUGAUAUUGGAAAUGCAUUCCUCCUUAAUCAUGAAGAAUAUGGAACUGGAGUGAAGCUAGCACCUAUUUUAUAUCAUAGAACCAGCAACUUCAGUGUAAGUAUUAGUGCUAUCGAGCAUACAAACCAGGCAAAAAAGCAAAGACUAAAGGAAUCACCCAGCAGUUUACUGGAACCAAUAAAAAAAGAUGUAGGCGAAUGUAUUCAAAGUUUGUCUUUGGACAUCACCGGAGUAGGAGACGGGGUACAGGGGCGAAGCCGAUCCACACCAAAACAGAAAUUCUUAAGGGUCGGGGCGAGGCAGAGCCGAGCCGAGCCAUACCAAAUCAAAAAAAAAAAUUCUAAGCAUGCAAAAUUAAAUUCUCAUUCAACCCUCUGCAUUACAUGGGAUACAUAUUAGUUUGUUAAAAGAAAAAGAAU
This is a long non-coding RNA of Papaver somniferum (opium poppy), 1654 nucleotides long. RefSeq lists it as uncharacterized. The record is from RefSeq and is a predicted model, not a curated record. NCBI's taxonomy places the organism in Eukaryota, Viridiplantae, Streptophyta, Magnoliopsida, Ranunculales, Papaveraceae. The transcript has 3 exons.